This 70-nucleotide transfer RNA is filed under the name Dipodomys ordii (Ord's kangaroo rat). It matches the Rfam family "tRNA". From Rfam's summary of the family: Transfer RNA (tRNA) molecules are approximately 80 nucleotides in length. Their secondary structure includes four short double-helical elements and three loops (D, anti-codon, and T loops). The record is from Rfam by way of RNAcentral. Lineage: Eukaryota; Metazoa; Chordata; Mammalia; Rodentia; Heteromyidae.
GGGAAUGUGGCUUAGUGGUAGAGUGCUUGCUUAUCAUGCAUGAAAUCCUGGGUUUGAUUCCUCAGUACCA